GAUGAACGCUGGCGGCGUGCCUAAUACAUGCAAGUCGAGCGAACAGACGAGGAGCUUGCUCCUCUGACGUUAGCGGCGGACGGGUGAGUAACACGUGGAUAACCUACCUAUAAGACUGGGAUAACUUCGGGAAACCGGAGCUAAUACCGGAUAAUAUAUUGAACCGCAUGGUUCAAUAGUGAAAGACGGUUUUGCUGUCACUUAUAGAUGGAUCCGCGCCGCAUUAGCUAGUUGGUAAGGUAACGGCUUACCAAGGCAACGAUGCGUAGCCGACCUGAGAGGGUGAUCGGCCACACUGGAGCUGAGACACGGUCCAGACUCCUACGGGAGGCAGCAGUAGGGAAUCUUCCGCAAUGGGCGAAAGCCUGACGGAGCAACGCCGCGUGAGUGAUGAAGGUCUUCGGAUCGUAAAACUCUGUUAUUAGGGAAGAACAAAUGUGUAAGUAACUAUGCACGUCUUGACGGUACCUAAGCAGAAAGCCACGGCUAACUACGU
This 496-nucleotide ribosomal RNA is filed under the name uncultured bacterium. RNAcentral's name for it is "partial 16S ribosomal RNA". It matches the Rfam family "Bacterial small subunit ribosomal RNA", at positions 28 to 506 of the family's 1533-position model. The record is from RNAcentral.